GGCGAACGGGUGAGUAACACGUGGGUAACCUGCCUCCAAGUCGGGCACAACANCGCGAAAGCGCUGCUAAUUCCCGAUAUACUGGCACCGCACAAGUGAGUGCCAGGAAAGCUCUGGCGCUUGGAGAUGGGCCCGCGGCCGAUUAGCUUGUUGGUGGGGUAACGGCCUACCAAGGCGACGAUCGGUAGCCGACCUGAGAGGGUGACCGGCCACACUGGGACUGAGACAUGGUCCAGACUCCUACGGGAGUUAGCAUCAGGGAAUCUUGCGCAAUGGGCGAAAGCCUGACGCAGCGACGCCGCGUGGGUGAUGAAGGUCUGCGGAUCGUAAAGCCCUGUCAGGAGGGACGAAGUUCUGACUGUACCUCCAGAGGAAGCCCCGGCUAACUCCGUGCCAGCAGCCGCGGUAACACGGAGGGGGCCAGCGUUGUCCGGAAUUACUGGGCGUAAAGCGCGCGUAGGCGGUCUA
This 468-nucleotide ribosomal RNA is filed under the name uncultured Actinomycetes bacterium. RNAcentral describes it as "bacterial SSU rRNA". It matches the Rfam family "Bacterial small subunit ribosomal RNA", at positions 97 to 582 of the family's 1533-position model. Lineage: Bacteria; Bacillati; Actinomycetota; Actinomycetes. The record is from RNAcentral.